GUUUUUCUUCUUCUUUU
This 17-nucleotide small RNA is filed under the name Arabidopsis thaliana (thale cress). Its description in RNAcentral is "ATSL107110". Lineage: Eukaryota; Viridiplantae; Streptophyta; Magnoliopsida; Brassicales; Brassicaceae. The record is from RNAcentral.